UGGCUCAAUAGUUAAGAGCACUGGCUAUUCUUCCAGAGGACCUGGGUUCAAGUCCCAG
Non-coding RNA from Rattus norvegicus (Norway rat), 58 nucleotides. NCBI's taxonomy places the organism in Eukaryota, Metazoa, Chordata, Mammalia, Rodentia, Muridae. The record is from Rfam.